UUCAACCCUCAGCUCCUGAGGAGAGGGCUGGCUGAAGGCAGGCGCUUCCCUUACAACUCCUGCCUGAAGGCCAAAUCCUGAUAUGCCCUGAGAUGGUGACAUUCCCCCCCCACCUUACUCGCUCAGUUUAUUUGUGUUAGUUCCCCUUGCUUUUUGUUCAUAGACUACCCUGGAAGGGGAGAGGUUUUGAAGUGAUGUGGCCAGUGGGCCACGUCACAGGAAGAGGCAGGCCACUGCAGAUGUGGGGCACUCAAUAGCAGCAGAUGCCAGUGCUGAGACAGCUGCUAUGCCACACCUACUCAUGAGGAGAUGCUACUGAAAAGAAGUCAUGGGAGAGAAGAGAUGCGUAUAAUGGCAAUUAGGUCACCAAACUUGCUUCCAUCAAAGAGGGAAUUCACAGCACUGCAGAGACAAGUACAUGGCUCUCCUGGCACUGAGAUAGCAGCAGCCACCAGCAACUCUCACUAUGACCCAGAGGCAGCACAGACCUGUUCCCUGACCCCGAGAGCAGGUACACAGGACACCCCAACAUGAGCUGCCCCUUCACUCUGCACAGAAGACAGGAGGCUCCUGGUCCUGAGUAGCUUGCCCGAGGUGGAGGGGUAGGAGCAGCGGUGGUUGCAGACAGCAGUAGAGCAGAGCAGUGGGAGGAGGAGGAGGAAGAGGAGGAGGAGGAGGGACCUCCCUGAGCACAGCACCCUGGUGGUGGCCCAUCCUGCUGACCCCAAAGGCUGGCCCUGCUCCUGAGCCAGCAGCAGCAGCAAACAGGCGUUCCCUGAUCCCAGCUCAGCAGC
Long non-coding RNA from Chelonia mydas (Green sea turtle), 794 nucleotides. RefSeq lists it as uncharacterized. The record is from RefSeq and is a predicted model, not a curated record. The transcript is spliced from 3 exons. Lineage: Eukaryota; Metazoa; Chordata; Testudines; Cheloniidae.